UACGAAGGGGGCUAGCGUUGCUCGGAAUCACUGGGCGUAAAGCGCGCGUAGGCGGCGUCUUAAGUCAGAGGUGAAAUCCUUGGGCUCAACCCAGGAACUGCCUUUGAGACUGGUGCGCUCGAGUCCGGAAGAGGGUAGUGGAAUUCCCAGUGUAGAGGUGAAAUUCGUAGAUAUUGGGAAGAACACCGGUGGCGAAGGCGGCUGCCUGGCCCGAUACUGACGCUGAAGUGCGAAAGCGUGGGGAGCAAACAGG
This 253-nucleotide ribosomal RNA is filed under the name uncultured bacterium. RNAcentral describes it as "partial 16S ribosomal RNA". It matches the Rfam family "Bacterial small subunit ribosomal RNA", at positions 524 to 776 of the family's 1533-position model. The record is from RNAcentral.